Molecule: ribosomal RNA, 441 nt
Filed under: uncultured bacterium
Lineage: Bacteria
Description: bacterial SSU rRNA
Rfam family: Bacterial small subunit ribosomal RNA
Source: RNAcentral
AACGCGAAGAACCUUACCUGGGCUCGAAAUGUUAUGGACCGCAGUGGAAACAUUGCUUUCCCGCAAGGGACCGUAAUAUAGGUGCUGCAUGGCUGUCGUCAGCUCGUGUCGUGAGAUGUUGGGUUAAGUCCCGCAACGAGCGCAACCCUUAUCGUUAGUUGCCAUCAGGUCAAGCUGGGCACUCUAGCGAAACCGCCCCGGAUAACGGGGAGGAAGGUGGGGAUGACGUCAAGUCCUCAUGGCCUUUAUGUCCAGGGCUACACACGUGCUACAAUGGUCGGUACAAACCGUCGCAAACCUGCGAAGGGGAGCUAAUCGGAAAAAGCCGGCCUCAGUUCGGAUUGGAGUCUGCAACUCGACUCCAUGAAGCUGGAAUCGCUAGUAAUCGCGGAUCAGCACGCCGCGGUGAAUACGUUCCCGGGCCUUGUACACACCGGAGUA